RNAcentral lists this ribosomal RNA (559 nucleotides) under Nonomuraea sp. 387G08. RNAcentral describes it as "bacterial SSU rRNA". It matches the Rfam family "Bacterial small subunit ribosomal RNA", at positions 93 to 671 of the family's 1533-position model. The record is from RNAcentral. RNAcentral also lists the same sequence under 1 other name. Lineage: Bacteria; Bacillati; Actinomycetota; Actinomycetes; Streptosporangiales; Streptosporangiaceae.
GAGCGGCGAACGGGUGAGUAACACGUGAGCAACCUGCCCCUGACUCUGGGAUAAGCCCGGGAAACUGGGUCUAAUACCGGAUACGACCACUGUUUGCAUGGAUGGUGGUGGAAAGUUUUUCGGUUGGGGAUGGGCUCGCGGCCUAUCAGCUUGUUGGUGGGGUAGUGGCCUACCAAGGCGACGACGGGUAGCCGGCCUGAGAGGGCGACCGGCCACACUGGGACUGAGACACGGCCCAGACUCCUACGGGAGGCAGCAGUGGGGAAUAUUGCGCAAUGGGCGGAAGCCUGACGCAGCGACGCCGCGUGGGGGAUGACGGCCUUCGGGUUGUAAACCUCUUUCAGCAGGGACGAAGUUGACGUGUACCUGCAGAAGAAGCGCCGGCUAACUACGUGCCAGCAGCCGCGGUAAUACGUAGGGCGCAAGCGUUGUCCGGAAUUAUUGGGCGUAAAGAGCUCGUAGGUGGCUGGUCGCGUCUGCCGUGAAAGCCCGCAGCUUAACUGCGGGUCUGCGGUGGAUACGGGCCGGCUAGAGGUAGGCAGGGGCAAGUGGAAUUCCU